UACGAAGGGUGCAAGCGUUACUCGGAAUUACUGGGCGUAAAGCGUGCGUAGGUGGUUUGUUAAGUCUGAUGUGAAAGCCCCGGGCUCAACCUGGGAAUGGCAUUGGAAACUGGCGAGCUUGAGUGUGGCAGAGGGGGGUGGAAUUCCGCGUGUAGCAGUGAAAUGCGUAGAGAUGCGGAGGAACACCGAUGGCGAAGGCAGCCCCCUGGGCUGACACUGACGCUCAGGCACGAAAGCGUGGGGAGCAAACAGG
Molecule: ribosomal RNA, 253 nt
Filed under: uncultured bacterium
Lineage: Bacteria
Description: partial 16S ribosomal RNA
Rfam family: Bacterial small subunit ribosomal RNA
Source: RNAcentral